Long non-coding RNA from Sinocyclocheilus grahami, 1526 nucleotides. RefSeq lists it as uncharacterized. NCBI's taxonomy places the organism in Eukaryota, Metazoa, Chordata, Actinopteri, Cypriniformes, Cyprinidae. The record is from RefSeq and is a predicted model, not a curated record. The transcript has 2 exons.
UACAAAUGAAGCAUUAUCUACUUAAAUAUGCAUACAUUUCCAAAACUGAAAUCUGAAUAUUGGAUAAAGCCAGAUUCAAAUUUCUGGUUUGAUUUUGUUGAUAUUUUAUUUUAUUUAGUUUUAGUUUUAUCACUCCAUAAAUCAGAAAAUACUGCCAAUAAGCAAACAGAAAUACAUUCUCACCAUGUUUUUAGGAAUGAAAUGAUGUAUAGAAUCAGGUGACUUAUAUAAACAAAGCCCUCAGUAAAAACCUUCAGAAUUCAGACUGGAAUAAAACUCUAAAGUCUGAUGUAUGAAAGCGCUGCCGAGGUGGAGAACAACAACAACUGAAAUCUACAGACACAAACACAUAAAGAGCAAUAAAAUAAACACAUAUUUUCCCCGUCUAUUCUGAAUGUUAUGGAAGUGAAACAGAUCACAAUCUGCAUGAAAAGUAAUGGUUUAGUCUGUAGUGUCCUGCUUUAAAAGAGGGGUUCAGCUGAUUUUUUUCCAAAUAAAGAUGGCCUAAAAACAGAGCGAAAGAGGCGCUGAAUGCAGAGAAAGUAAAAAAACAGAACAAAGGGUUCAGAGGAUCAUGAAAAGAGAGAGAAAUUCAUUAAAAGAGAAAAACGCAAAGAUAAAAACUUGCUGAAUCCGAAAGACUUCCAUCCCGAGGGAAGCAGGACAAAUGAACACACAAAUCUGAACGAGAGCGAAUCACACGACACAGCGCUUAUUUCUUCAUUGAUUUGUUUUACAUACAUUACAUACAUACAUACUAUACAUAGAUACAUAAUUAACAUUUAUAAAAUCCUCCCCAAAGUCUUUUAGCAUCCAGUUUAAAUGGCAUGCCAAGUUUGAGUACUGAUUCAGUACACACACACACACACACACACACACACACACACACACACACUUUAACAACACCAACACACCGGUGCCCACAUACCUGCAUGCGCGCACACACACACUCACUCAGAUAGCACACGUGUACACGGAUAUGCAUACAUGCGCUCACACACACUCACUCCGAUAGUGCACACGUGUACACGGCUAUGCAUACAUGUACUCACACACACACACACACACACACACUCAGAUAGCACACGUGUACACAGAUAUGCAUAGAUGCGCUCACUCACACACACACACACACACACACACACACUCAUAUAGCACACGUGUGUACACGGCUAUGCAUACAUGUACUCACACACACACGGCUGAGGAUAACACUGCUGAAUCAAGCCAUGAAAGGAAAACGUCUUCAUUCACAAUGCAUCUGAAACAUGACAAGCCUUCACGACCAAACCAGCAACUGAAAGAGUCCAACGAAAGAUUAAAGAUGCGACGAAGCAGAAACACCUUCUUCCCGCUCAUAUCGAACCACGUGAAGAGAGAAAAGAUGAGGGUAUAGGACACAUAAACUGAAACAAUGACUUAUAAAAAUAGAUUUAUAUAUAUAUAUAUCUGCGUGGGUGACAUUUCCAGCCCAAAGAAAAAGACGACAAAAACGAGGGCAGAGAUGUGCUGUGAAUGAAAAAAAA